Molecule: ribosomal RNA, 513 nt
Filed under: uncultured bacterium
Lineage: Bacteria
Description: bacterial SSU rRNA
Rfam family: Bacterial small subunit ribosomal RNA
Source: RNAcentral
UAGUCCAUGCCGUAAACGAUGAGAACUAGCCGUUGGUGGAUAACAUUGGUGGCGCAGUUAACGCGAUAAGUUCUCCGCCUGGGGAGUACGGCCGCAAGGUUAAAACUUAAAUGAAUUGACGGGGGCCCGCACAAGCGGUGGAGCAUGUGGUUUAAUUCGAUGCAACGCGAAGAACCUUACCUACCCUUGACAUCCUGCGAAUUUUUCAGAGAUGAAGAAGUGCCUUCGGGAGCGCAGAGACAGGUGUUGCAUGGCUGUCGUCAGCUCGUGUUGUGAAAUGUUGGGUUAAGUCCCGUAACGAGCGCAACCCUUGUCCUUAGUUGCCAUCAUUAAGUUGGGGACUCUAAGGAGACUGCCGGUGACAAGCCGGAGGAAGGUGGGGACGACGUCAAGUCAUCAUGGCCCUUAAGGGUAGGGCUACACACGUGCUACAAUGGUCGGUACAGAGGGCAGCAAUAGGGCGACCUGGAGCGAAUCCUUAAAGCCGAUCGUAGUCCGGAUUGCAGUCUGCAA